RNAcentral lists this long non-coding RNA (1123 nucleotides) under Homo sapiens (human). RNAcentral describes it as "HSALNT0355466". The record is from RNAcentral. Lineage: Eukaryota; Metazoa; Chordata; Mammalia; Primates; Hominidae.
GUGCGCCGGAGGCUGCCGUGGCGGGUGGGCCGCCUGACUUCUCCUCCCGGCCAGUUCUCGAGCGCCUCACCGGGCCUCGCCCUGCAGCCUCGCUCUCGCUGGCGCUGCGCGGCCUAGGGGACUGGGCUGCUGGCCUCCGGGUGCGGGGUGGGGGCAGGCUCCGACCUGGGGCGUCCUGGCCGCGCGAGCCGCGGGAUGGGGGCCCGGGCCGCGGAGGAGGCGCCGCUGGUGUGUCCCUUGGUGGAGAGGGCGCUGCCGGCCCUGCGCGGUUUCCAGCCAGGAAGCUUCGGGAAGCCUGGACGUCUGCUCACUGGAGAUGACACGUGCGUGGGGUGUUGGCAUUCUUGUUAUUUAACACGGGAAGGAGGUGACUUCGCCUGUGAUGGACUUCCAGUGUGAGCACUGGCCAGAGUGACCAGGCUGACCAGCACCAGCCCUGAUCCAGAUGCAGAGGCCAGGAUGUGGGCCCAGCCCUGUGCCAGGAGGCUGGCUGGAAUAAAGGUACAGAUAGAGGCCUCACCCCCUCUGGGACCACUGGCACUCAGGGUGUUUGCAGCCUCAGAGCCCACCUGCCCCCAGGGCCACAGCUGCAUCUCCUGCCCUGCUGUCAUUACAGGGAUGGGCAGGCUGGCAUGGGGGCAGCCGCUGCCCCUGCCUGGGUGUUGCUGUGUAUUCCUGCCGGCCAGGGGCCACUGCCAGGACCACGCCUCCCUUUUCAUAUCCCGAUUCUUAAGUUCUGCUAUUGUGGUAUUCUGGUGGAGAAAAAAGAACCGCGUGGCUGUUUUUGAACUGCCUGGAACCUAAGACCCUGAAUUCUUUUCCCCCCCAAGGGGAAAAUCUAUAUGGAAAACAUUUAUUUUAAAAUACAGGAUGAAGUGAAUUAAAAGAUUUAAAUGCACAUUUCUUUAAGGAUAAUAUUUCUGUGUUGGCAAAAUUUGAGAGUAAAUUGGUCUUGAAUGGAAUGGAUUGUCUUGACUCACACAUUGCGGAGCAGAGCCCGCCCUGAAGAAAGGUGUUGCUGUGGUGGGAUCUUCCCACGAGGGUCCUUGCCUGUUCUCCUAGGGGAUGGUUGCUGGGUGCCCUGGGCUACUGGGGAGAGCGUACGGGGCUGGAGAAGAUGGCC